Labrus bergylta (ballan wrasse) is the source of this 471-nucleotide non-coding RNA. The record is from RefSeq and is a predicted model, not a curated record. NCBI's taxonomy places the organism in Eukaryota, Metazoa, Chordata, Actinopteri, Labriformes, Labridae.
ACAUUCACACGCUCAGAGGUGGGCAUUUACAAACGGAUGUGAAUGAAUUGAAAGCUCUCACAGCGGGGGCUGACCACCUCUUCACUCAGCCAGUGACUCAUGCGGAGGGCGUGCUUAAAAGACGUUGUUCAUCAGGCUCAGACUGGAACAGCAGUAUUAAUUGGAAGUAUGUAAGCGAGCAGUUGCAGUUAACACAAUGGGAUUGCUGCGCUUUAUCAAAAGCACACACGCGGCUGUGGCUCGCACAAUGAGACGGGGGAGUCACGUUAACAGCACACGUCUAGGCUCGUUUCUUACAGCACUACAGACCAUUUGUGUUCCACUGCUCCGAUACCUCAAGGGUGACUGCUCUACUGCUCGUGUUCAUGGUGGUUCCAGCAAUCAAGCUUAAGAUCAAACAGAAAUGCAGCACAGCCAUUUAAAACACACUCCUGUGCAAGGCUCAUAUCCCACGACAGAUUAUAAUCCACC